This is a non-coding RNA of Dermacentor albipictus, 894 nucleotides long. NCBI's taxonomy places the organism in Eukaryota, Metazoa, Arthropoda, Arachnida, Ixodida, Ixodidae. The record is from RefSeq and is a predicted model, not a curated record.
CGCCCUGUUGUGAGACGUGUUUAGCGCUCUGAGUAGCUGAAUCUUUUCGGUUCGUCUGGCCGCAGUGACGGGUGAUGUUAUCUGUAAGCUAGUACGAAUGGUGCUGCCAGUUUCGUGCCAUUCUCCGAUAUCGCCGGCGUCUCUGCUCUUCGCACUUUGCAAUGUCUUUCUCUAUGCUGUGUGCUCGAGUGUUCGACAGCAUUUCGCAUCUUCGCGCUGUCGCAACGUGCGCAAGUUUGCGAGAACAUUGCAAAAGAAGGAGCCGUUGGAUUUACUAAACACCGACGUAGUCAACCGUGCCGGAUUAUGCUUCCUAGCUGGCGAGUUCCUGAAACAGUGAGCAUGACGGCUCACGGACGAGAAGCGGCGACAAACACGGAUGCUGGCGCCACGACUAAUGGCAGCAGUCAAACGGCGACAGAAAACCUGCGGAGCUGACUUCAUCGCUGUACCCUUCUUUGUGGAUCGUAUUUCGUGCACUCGAGGAGAAGAUGAUGCACAUCUUCGUCUGGAUGGCCACAAGAACACUGCGGACUAGAGACACGCUUUAUCCUGUACAAGAAGUGUUUCGUAAAUGCAGUACCAAGACGCAGGUGGUGUACCAAUGUUUCAAAUUUUCUGUUGUUUCUUAGAUUUUCCGGCAUUGAUAAGUUUAUACGUGUGUCUAUGAAGUAUAACUCCGAGUUUUUAGUUUGCUGAUAAAACCAGGUAGUUUUGCUGAGGCGACAAGAAAUCAGUCUCAGGAGCACACGGACGUCACUAUGCAAUAGGGGAUGAUUGGUUGUCUCUCCGUUAUUGUGCGCCCGAUUCGCAGCUGCAUCCAUUGCAGUAUUACCAGGAAUAUUGCAGUGCCCAGGUAUCCACUGAACUGCAAUUACGUGGUUCAUUGAGCUU